Molecule: ribosomal RNA, 253 nt
Filed under: uncultured bacterium
Lineage: Bacteria
Description: partial 16S ribosomal RNA
Rfam family: Bacterial small subunit ribosomal RNA
Source: RNAcentral
UACGUAGGGUGCAAGCGUUAAUCGGAAUUACUGGGCGUAAAGCGUGCGCAGGCGGUUGUGCAAGACAGAUGUGAAAUCCCCGGGCUCAACCUGGGAACUGCAUUUGUGACUGCACGGCUGGAGUGCGGCAGAGGGGGAUGGAAUUCCGCGUGUAGCAGUGAAAUGCGUAGAUAUGCGGAGGAACACCGAUGGCGAAGGCAAUCCCCUGGGCCUGCACUGACGCUCAUGCACGGAAGCGUGGGGAGCAAACAGG